Molecule: long non-coding RNA, 2020 nt
Organism: Prosopis cineraria
Lineage: Eukaryota; Viridiplantae; Streptophyta; Magnoliopsida; Fabales; Fabaceae
Exons: 2
Source: RefSeq, a predicted model, not a curated record
ACCAAAAAUCUUCUCUCUUCCACAUUUACCUUCCCUCUCUCUUUCCCAUCUUCCUCUGCCGCGGCAAGGUACUGGCACAUGAGGUAUCUUGACCUCUGCCUCGGCAAGCCGGCGCUGAAGCCUCUUCCUCUGUCAACUAACUCCUUUGCCACCCUCAAGUCCUCCGACGACAACUUCCCCAGGCAUCUCCUUUAUUAUUAUUAUUAUUAUUAUUAUUAUUAUUAUUAUUAUAUAUUUGUUCUCUUCUUCUUCUUGACAGCGUUGUUCAUCCCCAUGGAUGACUCAAUCAGAAAGGAGAGGGGAAAAUCAGUGGGUAGGGCCUAUCUUUGGGCGAGAGCGACUUGAGAAAAGCCAAGGUUUGGGAGUUUAGAGCAGCAAUGUCAUCGUUGGCUUAGACUUGAUGGACAACAACAGUAUGUUGAAUCCAUGUCAGUCUUGGAGUAAAUGAAUGAUUGUGGCUCAUUUACUGGCUUGGCGUGGCUUUAUUGUGACAGUUCAAAAAACCGACACUCAGCUAGUAAAAGGGAAAGCCCUUUUUUUUUUGGGGGGGGGGGGGGGGGCGCGGGGGUGGUGAGCUACUUACCCUUUUGAAUGUAGAUGCUGACGCCUGAAGGCAUUAUUUGUAUGCGAGCUCAACUUUCGCAUAUUUUGGUUUGGUUGUGUCUUGUCUUCCUUUCAGAAUUGUACUUGAGGUUUCAUACGUUUCCUCAUUGCCUCCUAAUUUCAAUAUGAAUUUUGACGAAUUAACACAUGCAACGACUUCUAUUGUAUUUUUUUCUCCCCAAAUAAGGACUACAACCAAAGAUGUGGGCAGAAGCUCGGACUGGCUGGUUUGCUGAGUUUGGAGGUCCAGUUCCUCACUGACCUGCUGAACACAUGGCAUUUUCAGUUGCGAGGUUUAUCCAGACAGGUUUAUCUUUUGUUAAUUAUUACAUGUUAAAUUAUGAGAUUGAGUUCAUUUGUUUUGUUUGUUCCAGAAUCAUGGGGGAAAAAAUUUUGGUUGAACUGCUGGGGGUCCAUUCAUUGCUCCAAGCUAUGAUUAUGAUGCUCCUCUUUAUGAAUGUGGUAUUCAUAAAGUAUUCUGAACCCUUGCAUGACUCAGAAGCUUUUUUUUUUUAAGCACUCUCUAACUAAGCACUUCUGCUUUCUAUUUAGAAGAUAUUGGUGCAAUCUCCACUGUCACCUGUUGAAGUCAUAUCAGUCAUUUCACUACUGUUACUUCAAAGUAAACCAUAAAGCCAAAGGCAUUUUGAAUCACUUUUAUAUCUUGUUAUUCUUUGUAAUAAUUUCUGAUAUUUACCUUUUACAUAUGACUUGAUCCUCGGAAUUUUGAGUCUUUAAAGUUUAUGGAGUUCUACACAAAGUAUUAGUGCUUUACAUUUACUUGUCUUCAUUUAUACAAGACAAAAUUUUAUGAUGUAGAACUUCAUGAAUGCCAUUCUUUGGAUUUAUAUGCAUGUGUUUCUCCUAAAUGUCAUUGUUACCAGAAUGAUAUAAAUAAGCCAACCAAUUGCAAUAUGGUGUGACAAUAAAGUAAUCCAAUGCACAUAAUGUUCAUAAACAUACGCCUGAGUAAAAGUGAAAUAUUGUUAUACGGCUUGUUGUGAUAUUGAUAGUGUUAUUUAUGGUGCAUGUCUAAGGGGGAGUCUGAUGAUAAUGUCUUUAUGGCAGAAGAAGAAAGUUGAAGUCAAGAGGCUCUUGUAGAUUCAACUCAUACAUAUCAUAACUCAAGUGAUCUACAAGAAAAUGUUGAUCAAGAGAUUCUCCUAAAAGAUUGAAUGAAAAUGUGAUUGUAUUUUGAAAUAUAUUUAUGGCCAUCCCUUUCAUUUGUUUUUUGUUCUAUAUCUUUUUUUAAUACUUGGCAGGAAGAUAGAUCAAAACUAUGGGAAUUAAUAUUUUUCAUUGAAAUUGUUGUUCAUUUUUCUCCUUGAUAUAUACUUGUCGUACAAGGAAAAUUCAAUUGUAAUCUAUGUAAAACUGUUGAAUGAGCUUCAUUUAUAGGUAAAUAUGACUUGGUAUA